Hyaena hyaena (striped hyena) is the source of this 873-nucleotide long non-coding RNA. RefSeq lists it as uncharacterized. The transcript has 3 exons. NCBI's taxonomy places the organism in Eukaryota, Metazoa, Chordata, Mammalia, Carnivora, Hyaenidae. The record is from RefSeq and is a predicted model, not a curated record.
AGGCGGCCCCGCCCCGCGCCCCGCGCCCGGCUGCGGCUGCGGCUUCCGGGAGGGUCGCGGGGCCUCGGCGGGGCCUCGGGCCCCCUGCGCAUCCCCGGCGCCGACCUGGGCGGUGGCCGGCCCCGCCCCGCGGGAGGUGCCCGCGCUCGCCUGGCCGAGAGCUUCCCAGGGCUGGGGGUGAGAGGGCCGGGGUCCCCCCGGGAGGGUCUCAGCCGCUGCGCCCCCAGACACAGGCGGUGGCCCGGCAGCCUCGCGGGGGAAGAGGUCGUGGCGACCCUGUGGAGCCUUCUCUCCUGGCAGGCCGACGCCCACCUGGGGUCCCCCCAGGCUCUCCUUCUGGGCCUGGUACCCUGACCCUCAACUCCCUACCCCAGGGGGGAAGCUGCCACCUGAGGGGGAAGGACGGGAGCUGAACCACAUUUGGUGAGCCGAGAAUGUGGUUGGGGGCACUUGGUGCAAGGAGCCGGACUGUUCAGGUGAUAAGCCAGGUGACUUGACAGUUCAGAAUCCUCCUCACUGGGAGUCUAAGCUCUCAGCAGCCCUGCAGCCACGGGAACGCGGUGAACACAGUUAGCAGAGAGCAGUGUCUGUCCUUCCCCCAACUUUGCAACCUGGUGUAGAAAUCACUGCAGCCCAGUGCCUUUGGGUUCAUUGCUGCACCCGCAUCUAAAAAUUGUAUUGCUGCUUACGGAGGUAACGGUCUCGAUAUAGACUCUUCACAGUCCAAGGCUGAUGCGAACACCUCAUGAUCUCUGCCAUUUUGCUGAGGCAGCUCAAAUAAUCCCCACUGCAAGGAGCUUGUUUCUCCCAUCACGGAGGAAACUGUCUGCGAAGUUGCAUUAAGCUUGGAUCCACAGUCAUUCUUUUUAACCU